AUUGGGGCGUGACUACCACCCUCUGUGUCUGAAGUGUCAACAGUGUCAGAGACAGUUGACCCCAGGACAACAUGCAGAGCAUGAUGAGAAGCCCUACUGCACUAACUGUUACAUGAAGACGUUCGGUCCCAGAGCAGGUAAGGGGAGAAUGAUGUCAUACGGUCACAGCUCAGCCUCCUCUUCCUCUUCCUCCUCCUAGGAACCAGUCUAACCAAAAAAACAACCAAAAUACAACCUAAUGAAAACUAACAGCCUAUCAACAAGGAUCUAUUUUCAACCAACCUGACAUUCAGCCAACAAGGCAAUGACUACACAACUAGGCCCAACAUUCAACCAACCAACCAAUGUUCGACCAACCAAGAAAUAACCAAUAGACAACCAACCUGACAUUUAUUGAACUACUAUCCAACCAACCUGACAUUUAAUUAACUACUAUCCAACCAACAGACAUCAGUCGUCUCACUCUGAAAGUCCCCCUCUUUCAAUCAAUCAUAAAACAACUACCUGGACCACAACUUUGUGCUCAAUGGAGACAACGGUUGUUCUUCAAUAAAACAAA
Coregonus clupeaformis (lake whitefish) is the source of this 559-nucleotide long non-coding RNA. RefSeq lists it as uncharacterized. NCBI's taxonomy places the organism in Eukaryota, Metazoa, Chordata, Actinopteri, Salmoniformes, Salmonidae. The transcript is spliced from 3 exons. The record is from RefSeq and is a predicted model, not a curated record.